Cynocephalus volans (Philippine flying lemur) is the source of this 151-nucleotide small nucleolar RNA. RefSeq annotates it as small nucleolar RNA SNORA38. The record is from RefSeq and is a predicted model, not a curated record. Lineage: Eukaryota; Metazoa; Chordata; Mammalia; Dermoptera; Cynocephalidae. The transcript has a single exon.
UCUUUUUUCUUGGGUUUUUCUAGAUCAAGAAUUUAGAUUGAUUGGUCCAACAGGAAGUGGUGAAUUUGCAAUUGGAGGUACAGAAAGGUGGACUUGGGAAGUCUGAGGCCAGCUUGCUCCCUGCAGGCUCAAGAUGAACCAUCCCACAUAG